Molecule: ribosomal RNA, 577 nt
Filed under: Kitasatospora xanthocidica
Lineage: Bacteria; Bacillati; Actinomycetota; Actinomycetes; Kitasatosporales; Streptomycetaceae
Description: bacterial SSU rRNA
Rfam family: Bacterial small subunit ribosomal RNA
Source: RNAcentral
CGGGUUGUAAACCUCUUUCAGCAGGGAAGAAGCGCAAGUGACGGUACCUGCAGAAGAAGCACCGGCUAACUACGUGCCAGCAGCCGCGGUAAUACGUAGGGUGCGAGCGUUGUCCGGAAUUAUUGGGCGUAAAGAGCUCGUAGGCGGCCUGUCGCGUCGGAUGUGAAAGCCCGGGGCUUAACCCCGGGUCUGCAUUCGAUACGGGCAGGCUAGAGUGUGGUAGGGGAGAUCGGAAUUCCUGGUGUAGCGGUGAAAUGCGCAGAUAUCAGGAGGAACACCGGUGGCGAAGGCGGAUCUCUGGGCCAUUACUGACGCUGAGGAGCGAAAGCGUGGGGAGCGAACAGGAUUAGAUACCCUGGUAGUCCACGCCGUAAACGUUGGGAACUAGGUGUUGGCGACAUUCCACGUCGUCGGUGCCGCAGCUAACGCAUUAAGUUCCCCGCCUGGGGAGUACGGCCGCAAGGCUAAAACUCAAAGGAAUUGACGGGGGGCCCGCACAAGCAGCGGAGCAUGUGGCUUAAUUCGACGCAACGCGAAGAACCUUACCAAGGCUUGACAUAUGCCGGAAACACCUGGA